Molecule: long non-coding RNA, 999 nt
Organism: Camelus dromedarius (Arabian camel)
Lineage: Eukaryota; Metazoa; Chordata; Mammalia; Artiodactyla; Camelidae
Exons: 6
Source: RefSeq, a predicted model, not a curated record
CACUUCCUGGAACUCCUGCCAGGCAGGAAGUACAAUGCUUCCAAAAGUUACCCCGGACGGCCAGAUGGAGGGGCUUCUAAAGCAAAUACGUCCUGGGACCCAAGGGGCUAAACGUCUGAAAAAACAACUAAAGCCAGUUAUGGCAUAAUCAGGCUUCAGGAGACAGACAGACAGAACUGCAGCUCGUUUGCUCUGCGUGGAUCAGAUCAAGAGGAAAGCUUCGGCAGGCUGCUUUCCAUCCUGGCUCACCUGGCUCCAGUGACACCUCACAAGACUGCAGAUUGAUCUGUUCUGUCCCCAGCGCUGCAGGGCUGAUGGCCCAGGAAUCCACCUCUGUGACUGUCAUGAAGCCCGGGCUGAGUUAACGGUGACGAGUUUUGGAGGCAACCAGUCUUAAAAAUUGGAGUCACCAUCCUCAACUUCUAGAUUGCGAGACUGAAACUCAAAAGAGGCUGAGGAAUUUCCCCAAAGUCACACCACUGGGAAGCACAGGAAAGUGAAGAAACCAGGACUAGCUGCCUCAGACUCCCAUCGCCUCACCCUCAGAGAGCUGCCGCCACGACCUAUGCAGGCAGCAGGUAGAGCCUCUUCUGUCUCCCUGGCCUUCCCUGUGUCGAGAAGGAUGAAGACUGAGGUGAUGUUGCAGCUGUGGUGCGAGCGGAGGACGUGGCUGUGCAGGAACUUGGAGAGGAUUUCCUUGGUGAGCGUGUCCUCCAGGUGCUGGAGUUUCCCCUCGUCGGGCAGGAUGAAGAAGGCGGUGGCAUUGCCCACGUAGUCCAUCAGCAGCACCCAGCUGGCGAGCGUGUCGCAGUAGUGGAGGUCGAACAUGCCCAGGCGGCUCAUCAUGGGCACCUUCACCGUGGUCUCCGCGUCCACGUGGAAGUCCUCCUCUGUGGUGCGCUCCGCAUCGAAGGGCUUCUCCCAUUUGCCUGGAGGGAAGGGGUGGCAGACAUCAGCCAGGGAUGGGAGAAGGUUUAAUAAAAGUCGUAGAACAAAGGA